Arvicola amphibius (Eurasian water vole) is the source of this 578-nucleotide long non-coding RNA. RefSeq lists it as uncharacterized. Lineage: Eukaryota; Metazoa; Chordata; Mammalia; Rodentia; Cricetidae. The transcript is spliced from 2 exons. The record is from RefSeq and is a predicted model, not a curated record.
CGAUUGUUAAGGUUAAGCGGUCGGUAGUCCCGCAUUGGCAAGGAGCGGACGAGUGGCGGGCCUCCGUCCCUCACCAGCAGAGGUGAGCCUCGAACCUGGCGUGUCCGGCCCUGCUCGAGACUCCGGUCUCGAACUCGGCUUCAUGUCCAGGCCAGCCUGGGGCUCCAGCCUCGUACCCUUCGUGCACGUGGACGGCCGUGCCCUGCCUGCUUCGCGUGGGAUUCGUUCUCUAGAAUGAUUUUUUUUUUAGCAUAAAAUAUAAUUUAUUAUGUAUACGUAUGAUGUACGUGCAUGCACCUGCCACAGCGCGGGCGAAUCAGGUCCCUACUUCGCCUUUUACGAGGGGUCCAGGGACGAGAACUCGGGCUUGCCGGACACUUUGAUCCCAGGCAGCACACAAGGACAUAGACAAGGAAUGCUUUAAGGCGCAGCUGCUCUGAAAGUCAGUCUGUGCCCUCAGCAGCAGAGAGUCUAUUAACUUGCCUCCAGAAUUGGCAAGCUUUUAUUCAUGCUUGCAUUGCCGUAAGUAGUUGUACUUUAAAAGAUAAAAUAAAUAUAAAUAAAGGCUGGCAGAUUUA